GGUAACAGGAGAAAGCUUGCUUUCUUGCUGACGAGUGGCGGACGGGUGAGUUAUGCUUGGGAAUCUGGCUUAUGGAGGGGGAUAACGACGGGAAACUGUCGCUAAUACCGCGUAGUGUCGAGAGACGAAAGUGCGGGACUGAGAGGCCGCAUGCCAUAGGAUGAGCCCAAGUGGGAUUAGGUAGUUGGUGGGGUAAAGGCCUACCAAGCCUGCGAUCUCUAGCUGGUCUGAGAGGAUGACCAGCCACACUGGAACUGAGACACGGUCCAGACUCCUACGGGAGGCAGCAGUUGGGAAUAUUGCGCAAUGGGGGGAACCCUGACGCAGCCAUGCCGCGUGAAUGAAGAAGGCCUUCGGGUUGUAAAGUUCUUUCGGUAUUGAGGAAGGUUGAUGUGUUAAUAGCACAUCAAAUUGACGUUAAAUACAGAAGAAGCACCGGCUAACUCCGUGCCAGCAGCCGCGGUAAUACGGAGGGUGCGAGCGUUAAUCGGAAUAACUGGGCGUAAAGGGCACGCAGGCGGUUAUUUAAGUGAGGUGUGAAAGCCCCGGGCUUAACCUGGGAAUUGCAUUUCAGACUGGGUAACUAGAGUACUUUAGGGAGGGGUAGAAUUCCACGUGUAGCGGUGAAAUGCGUAGAGAUGUGGAGGAAUACCGAAGGCGAAGGCAGCCCCUUGGGAAUGUACUGACGCUCAUGUGCGAAAGCGUGGGGAGCAAACAGGAUUAGAUACCCUGGUAGUCCACGCUGUAAACGCUGUCGAUUUGGGGGUUGGGGUUUAACUCUGGCGCCCGUAGCUAAC
RNAcentral lists this ribosomal RNA (797 nucleotides) under uncultured Haemophilus sp. RNAcentral describes it as "bacterial SSU rRNA". It matches the Rfam family "Bacterial small subunit ribosomal RNA", at positions 68 to 856 of the family's 1533-position model. The record is from RNAcentral. Lineage: Bacteria; Pseudomonadati; Pseudomonadota; Gammaproteobacteria; Pasteurellales; Pasteurellaceae.